RNAcentral lists this long non-coding RNA (3634 nucleotides) under Volvox carteri. RNAcentral's name for it is "long non-coding RNA (VCAR_LNC003942)". Lineage: Eukaryota; Viridiplantae; Chlorophyta; Chlorophyceae; Chlamydomonadales; Volvocaceae. The record is from RNAcentral.
GUAGCCUAAACGGCAGGCAUGGCGGCGGCGGGAAAUAGCAACACAGCAGCAGCAGAAGCGACGGCAGUGGGGCUGGGAGGUGCAGUAGCCUAAAUGGCAGGCAUGGCGGCGGCGGGAAAUAGCAACAGCAGCAGGCGCGGCGGCGGCGGGAAUUAGCAACGGAGUAGCAGCGGCAGCAACGGUGGUGGGGUUGGGAGGUGCAGUAGCCUAAACGGCAGGCAUGGCGGCGGCGGGAAAUAGCAACAGCAGCAGGCGUGGGGCUGGGAGGUGACGUAGCCAAAUGGCAGGCGUGGCGGCGGCGGGAAUUAGCAACAUAGCAGCAUGGCAGGCAGGUGGGGCGGGAGGGCCAUUACCUCAACAGCAGGCGCGGCGGCGGCGGGAAUUAGCAACGGAGUAGCAGCGGCAGCAACGGUGGUGGGGCUGGGAGGUGCAGUAGCCUAAAUGGCAGGCGCGGCGGCGGUGGGAAUUAGCAACGCAGGAGCAGUGGCAGCGACGGUGGUGGGGUUGGGAGGUGCAGUAGCCUAAACGGCAGGCGUGGCGGCGGCGGGAAUUAGCAACACAGCAGCAGCGGCAGCGACGAAGGUGGGGCUGGGAGGGCCAUAACUCUCAACAGCAGGCACGGCAGCGGUGGGAAUUAGCAACGGAGUAGCAGCGGCAGCGACGGCGUUGGGGCUGGGAGGUGCAGUAGCCUAAAUGGCAGGUGUGGCGGCGGCGGGAAUUAGCAACGGAGUAGCGGCAGCGACGAAGGUGGGGCUGGGAGGUACCAGAUGGUGCAAUUUGCACAGCAAUCACAUAGUGCUAAACACAGUGACGUUUCUUAUUGGUGUUGCAAAUUGUCCACGUUCACAUGACUUCUGGGCAGCAAGAGGGGAAAAGCCGUACAAUUCCGGACCCUGGUCCGGAAGUGUACAGCAUGGUAUAAAGUUCACAUGGCUGCAAAUUCAAUAUUGGGAAGUUGUUUCGUGGCUAUCGAACUUUGUUGAUUGCAUCAUUUAAAUCCUUGCCAGAACCUGCCAUAGAAUAGGAUGCUCUUUUGUCAUGGCGGGACCAAAUGCUUGCUUGUGUAGAAGCAUUAGAAGCUCGACGAUUGAUACAAACGUGAAUGUUCUGGUAUUCCUACACAUUGUGAUCAUUCUUACUGGUCACAUUAGCCAGUUUGCCAUGUCAUUGAAUGCGCUGGAGGUGGCAUCCAAACCACGAAAGAUCAUUUACAGACCGGAUGUAGCUCCGGACUCCUCCCAGCCUUUUCACUGCACCAACUGUGCCAACUGGUUUGGUAGUCGGUCACAUGCAUAUCGGCACCAGUGCAAAGACAGGGGGUGGAGUAUGGCCGCCGCCGCGCCUGCGGUUGAGACUAAUGCACCUCCCACAUGUUUUAGCUAGUUACAUCAACAAUGCUGUGCCUGUGGGACGGUGCGAGCUGGUGACUUAACUUGUCAUGCUUGAACACAGCAGGAGAGAAUCUUUGCUAAUUAAACCUUAAAUACAUGCCUUAAGUAUGUAACAUAUGGCUUUCAAAUUAACAACAGGGUGUAAGGGAGCUGACCGAGUAAGGCUUGGCAACAGGCCAAAAGGAAGUUGCCCUGCUAGCUGGCAUAUACUGAUCUUUUGCGUUGGAUAAGUGCAGCUAAGCCUAAGGGCUUUGUUUACGGCCGCGCCUGAAUGCAUAUCAAGUCACUGCAAGUGGCUGAAACGAAGGUAAUUCAAGUGCACUCCAGAAUCCCGGCAGGGAUACUGUAUAGUACAUUGUGCACAUUGUUAUGGAGGUAAUAUACUAUGCAGCAUUUCAGAGGGGAUUCAGGAGUCCAUAUGGCAUAUAAUUGUCACUUUUUAGAAAGGAACAAAACAUGAACACAUAGCCAGCAUAUGACCAUUGGGAACAUGACUGAAUUUACAUAUAUGAGUGGCAAUUCACGAUCCGUCAUGCUGCGCAAGGAGCAUGACAACUGUCAUGACCAUGACUCUGCCUCAUGACCGGUAACAUGACCGGUCAUGAGGCCUCAUGAGUGGUCAUGAGGCAACAUGACCAGAUCUAUGACAGGAAACCCCCCGCAUGACCACAUCCAUGACCAAGUCAUUCCCCUCAUAUGAGGGGUCGCGCUUACUACUUGUGGACCACUGCACGAGGAACAUGACGGACGGGCGUGCGCGCUUGUUGUACCCUAGGCGAACAGCUGUAACCACGGUAUCUGCACUGUCAUACGGGGAUUCAAGUGCGGUAGGGGCUGCAGGUGGAGGUGGUGGGCGGCCGGGAAAGAGCGCUGGAUCGUUGUCGGUCCAGGGAAGAAGGCGGCUGAUGUGGAAUACUGGAUGCAAGCGGCCGAGGGAGGCUGGAAGGUGGAGGCGGUAUGCGACUGGAGAAAUGACGGAGGAGAUGAGGAAGGGGCCGAGGUAGCGAGGGCGGAGUUUUGGGGAGGGGUAGGUAGGUAGGGUGAGGUGCUCUGUGGACAGUCGGACGCGAUCGCCAACUUUGAAGGUGAUGGAGCGACGAUGCUGGUUAGCUGCGGCAGUGUAGCGGGUUUUGGCGGCUUGGAUUUCGCGGUUGAUGGUGGCAUGGAUGUCCUUCAUACGCUGCUGUAGCUCGGUGGCCUGCGGGUGUGAGGAAGGUGGAGCGGCUUGGGGGCCGUGGAGGGAGAUGGGAGUGCGCGGGUGGUAGCCGUGAUUGGCGUAAAAUGGUGUCAUGCCGGUGCUUGCGUGGGUGGCGUUGUUGUAUGCUGCUUCUGCGAUCGGAAGGUAUGAUGCCCAGUUGUCCUGCAUAGGUUGGAUGUAAGCGCGGAGGAUCUGUUCAAUAGUGCGAUGUGUUCUCUCGGUUUGACCGUCGGUUUUNNNNNNNNNNNNNNNNNNNNNNNNNNNNNNNNNNNNNNNNNNNNNNNNNNUUUGGGAGGUGCAGUAGCCUAAACGGCAGGCGUGGCGGUGGCGGGAAAUAGCAACACAGCAGCAGUGGCAGCGACGGCAGUGGGGUUGGGAGGUGCAGUAGCCUAAACGGCAGGCACUGCAGCGGCGGGAAAUAGCAACAGCAGCAGGCGUGGCGGCGGCAGGAUUUAGCAAAGGAGUAGCAGCGGCCGCGACGAAGGUGGGGCUGGGAGGUGCAGUAGCCUAAAUGGCAGGCACCGCGGCGGCGGGAAUUAGCAACGCAGCAGCAGUGGCAGCAACGGCGGUGGGGUUGGGAGGUGCAGUAGCCUAAACGGCAGGCGUGGCGGCGGCGGGAAAUAGCAACACAGCAGCAGCGGCAGCGACAGCGUUGGGGCUGGGAGGUGCAGUAGCCUUAACGGCAGGCGUGGCGGCGGGGGGAAAUAGCAACAGCAGCAGGCGUGGCGGCGGCAGGAUUUAGCAAAGGAGUAGCAGCGGCCGCGACGAAGGUGGGGCUGGGAGGUGCAGUAGCCUAAAUGGCAGGCGUGGCGGUGGCAGGAAAUAGCAAUGCAGCAGCAGCGGCAGCGAUGGUGUUAAGGCUGGGAGGUGAAGUAGCCUAAACGGCAGGCGUGGCGGCGGCGGGAAUUAGCAACACAGCAGCAGCGGCAGCGACGAAGGUGGGGCUGGGAGGGCCAUAACUCUCAACAGCAGGCACGGCAGCGGUGGGAAUUAGCAACGGAGUAGCAGCGGCAGCGACGGCGUUGGGGCUGGGAGGUGCAGUAGC